AGCCCCCCGCUAUAACCACUGUGGCACGGCCCAGCUGCAUGCCCCUGGUAACAAUCCAUACAACACGCUUGGACAUGCGAUGAGGGUCCAGGAUUUAGCAGGCCAACUUUAGGUUUACCGUCAUCUUUAGGCGUACUGUCAUCUUUAGGCUUACCGUCACCUUUAGGCUUGCCGUCAUCUUUAGGCUUACCUUCAUCUUUAGGCUUACUGUCAGCUUUAGGCUUGCCUUCAUCUUUAGGCUUACCGUCAGCUUUAGGCUUGCCAUCAUCUUUGGGUGCUUUGGGCUUGCCGUCAUCUUUGGGUGCCUUGGGCUUCUCGGGCUCUUUGAUCUCAAUGCUUUUGAUGGCACUCCCACCUUUGCAGCAAAUCUUGUCCCUCAUCUUUUCUGGACUGCAGCAUACCACUUUGAUAACCACUUGGUUUUGCUUCUCGUCGUAUAUCUGGUCUCGUAUUUCUCUUGUUCACAAACACACAUUAAUUUACUCAGUUUACAUUUAAUCUAAAUUAAUCUUAUUUUCCCAAAAAGAAAGAACUUUAACUUUGGUAUUUCAUCAAAUAACCAUAUAGAUGAAUCAAGGAGAAAAGAGACUCACGUGGGAAUUUACAAAGAACUUUUUUAACCUUCUUGUAGCAUUUGUGACACUGAAGAUCUACCUUCAGCACCAUAAUCGUAACCUGAAUUAUCCAUUUUUAAUAUUAAUAGAAAAAAUAUGUGCAUUAACCAAAGAUUGACAAGAAUGAAUCUUCAGAAAAUAUAUAAAUAUACAGAAGAUUGUUGUGCAAAAGUGUAGACAAAAAGAAGUGGAACAGUGCUGCUGGACAAUCAGGGUUCUAACUGACUGACAGGGAAGAAUCAUGGUGAAAGUAUGUGGCCAAAUCUGUAACACAGAGAGAGAGAGAGAGAGAGAGAGAGAGAGAGAGAGAGAGAGAGAGAGGCAAAAAGCAACAAAAUAGCACAGAGGAAGGGACUUGGAGACUUAUUAGGAUAUAAAAAAAAAAGAACAGGAACCACAAAACUUAAACAAGAGCUUAAAGCCUUUUAGUUUUAGCCAUACAAUCAUCAUUUGGGUUAUCUACUUAUCCUUGGAAGAAGAAAAUGAAGAGAACACAAACUAUACCAAAUAUUACGUACCUUUUCCUUUUCCCCCAUUGCAGUGAGUAGUGGAUGCUCUCAGGCUCAGAUCUGGACGAGAACUUCUCAACUAAAAUGAUUGAAUGGGACAAAAACUUUAACGAAAUCAACUUUUAUAAUUAUAUAUGCAUAUUUAUACAAAAAUAUAUAAAAAUAGGAAUACAAUUCGGUGGAACAAAACAGAGAGAGAGAGAGAGAGAGAGAGAGAGAGAGAAGGAGAGAGCAAUAUUUGAUUAAAGUGGCUUAUUAAAAAAAAAUAUGACAAAUUGCUUGUUAAGAAAGAGUGAAAAAGAAAGAGGGAGAGAGCGCACAAUAGUUCGUACAUAGGGCGAAUGGGCUGCGAACACGUUGAUAUCGGUAGGUUGAUCCCACGCUAUGGUGGACAAAAGUUUCAUUGUAACUGUAAUACGGAUAAUACAACAUGUGUCAGUGAUGGAAAAUUUUAAUUUUUAAGUUAUUAAUUUUUUAACACAAGUAGCUCAUUAUUUUUAUAAUAACAUGUGAUGUAACAUUCUAUAUUUUGGACACACUAAAAGUUAUGUCAUUAUAAUAAUUGAGAGUUGUCGUUAUAGAGGCAGAUUGUCUACCCUCCUGUUUGGGUGCCCAUCUCAUCCUCACAUAUUUUGUGCGGUCAUGGUUAAACCACGUUUACAUUUUAUAUGCUCAUUAUUUUUUGUCUUAUUAUCUUUAUAAAAAAAAUUAAUAUAAAAUAUUGACGUGCCUUAACUGUAACCGUACAGAUAGAAGAUGAUGAAAAAAACACCUAAACAGGAGGCAGACAAUACGCCUCCUCGUUAUACGAAGAUAGGUGACUUCCUGAUGAUCGCUAAAAGUUGAAAUUUCUUGCACAUGCAUGUGCUGGCUUUGAUUCACCCACCUCACCUUCCAUACUUUCCAACUUCCUGCUAAUAUUAUUAUAAGUAAAUGAUUAAUUAUCAAAAUAAAAUUACAUCCUAAGUUAAUUAUAAUUAUUAAAGUUCACAUAGAGUUUGGUGGAGAGGAGAGAUGCCAAUAUUAUUUCAAGAUCGUCAAAUUAAUGGAGAAAAAACUAUAUUGUAGGGUCGAUAGUUUGGUCAAGUGCAAUUAUGGAUCAUGCACCCCCACAUGGCACAUGGAAAUUCCUCCAGUUGUCCCUACAUCUUAAGUAACAACAGGUGCCACCCAUCUUUGACUAGCUACUUGAAGUUUGGUUUGUUAAUCCAAACCGGUGAAGAAACGUCUGGUAAUUAGGUUGGAGUAGGAUUCUUUAUCCUUUUAUUUCCAUUCUUUUUUCUUCCCUUCUCUUACAUGUUACUUUUUGUCUUAUUGUUUUUAUAAAAAAAAUCAAUAUAAAAUGUUGACGUAACUAAACCAUAAUCAUUCAAAUAAAAGAAGAGGGAAAAAAAGAGAGAUUAAGAGGAAAGCGAAUCCUCUUCCAAUUAGGAUAACGAUUUUCAUUCAAUUGAUAUGGCAUCAUUUUAGAACCACACGUACAUACAUGCUGCAUCAUAAACCCUAUUACCUGCAAUGUACCGGACAGAGAAUGGAUGAUCAAAAUCCAAAAAGCGUGGGCUCCAGAUGACAAGAGCGUGGCUGAGGUUCAAAUGUCCCAAUUUCAUAGAGGUGGGUUGCUCACACAAUAGUGGUUGAUCAAUCCGAUUUGAUCUUUUCUUCUUGUACGUAAGUGCAUCACAGCUCAUUCAUUUGUACGUAAGACUUGAUAUGUUUCGUUUUGAUACAACCGACAAGAAAAUGAGGAUGAGAUUAGUGGACAUUAGGUGCAACGAUAUUUAAAUUAAUUAGUCGUUCACUUAAUUAUCUUUGUUUCAAGACUAGAAGUAGUACACUACACACCCUAACAAUGGUCAAAAGUGGGGAGUAUGAUUCUCUACCCUUCCAUGUCCUUCUAUUUGAACGGUCACGGUUAAGUCAUGUCCUCCUAUUUGAAUGGUUAAAUAUGAUUUAAUAAUAAUAGUUUUGUUGUCCUUUGGCUCUCUUGAUUUGAUUCUAUACAUUAAAAAUUGAUUUCACUUUCCUGCCUGCUUCCUGCUUCUGCAUACAUACAAUAUGGCUAAGCUUUGCAUUUUGGACAUAUCGAAUGUUUUUUAACUCAACUUUUGUCUUUGAAUUACGUUGUUUUGUGGAUGCACGGGAUCGGUGGUUAGAUAUCUCGUCUUGAACGCUGUCGUGCAAAUAGUACAUACGUAAUACAAAGAUUAGGCAGAGGUAACUUUGCGUAAUUUCUGGUGCCGCUCUAUGCUGUGCGCAGGUGUGCGCAUCGCCUGCGCAUAACGUCUUGGAGAUGAAAUCCCAGCCUUCGACCUCUAAGGCCUUAAAACCAACGGAUGUGAUGAGUGUUAAAUCCCUUGUACGCAACCCCAUGCGCAGGGGAGAAAUUCUGCCGACACUGUUUUCUCACCCUGAACGAAUGGACUUAUAGCAGCUUCAAUAUACCCACCACAGGCCUAAGUUUGUAGAUAAAAAUCACAACGAUGAAUUUGGGCCGAUUCUGAAAUAUCGAAGCCCAAACCUAGAAGAGAUUUUAAAAUGGAUUUUAGAUUUUUCGUCACCAGACUCGACCCAGCAAAGUUGGCAACUAAUACAGUACACACCCACCCACCCACGCCCACCUAGGGAAUCCCUUGAUCUUAACGCACAAAACCCUUUGGGAAAUUGACAUUUUGAGAAAAACUUUUUUAUAAGCUUCCUGGCUCAGAAAAUGAUAAAACCAUGCAACCAAUAACCAUAUUUUCUUGUCUUAGUGCACUGUACAAGGGAUUAAUCGGCGGUGUCUAUACAUAACACAUGAAAGUUAACAUUAUUCCUGCUCAUCUAUCUCAUUUGUAGAAGAGAUGUAAACGUUUAUAUUUAACUUUUAAUAGAUUUCUCUUCCCAUCUAGUAGAGAAACAUAAAGAGUGAGGUUUUUACAUUUUGAUCCCGUUAAAAUCUGAAUGGUAUUUUUCUGUCCCAUAUAUUGGUCCCAUUGAGUAGAGAAAUGUCUACAUGAUUCUAUCACAAGCAAAUAACAUGUCUUGUAUCUCGAGAAUUAUAAUAGCGGAAAUAAGCCUAAAAAGUAAGCAUCUAAGGUCACUUUAGUCUAUGAUGGUCAGGGGCGGCCCUGAGGGUAGCCUGGUAAGGCAACUGCCUAAGGCCCUCAACUUCUGGGGGCCCCCAUUUUUUUUUUAUAUGUAUAUAUAGUGUAUAAAUACUUUUAAAGUAAGAAGGAUAACACAAAAAACUUGGUGGCGUAGUGGAAAAGAAGGCAUUUAUUUGGUUACCAUCUCUUGUUUGAAACAUGAUGAAGACUCCCCAAACAAGUAUUGUUUUUCCAAAUAUAAUUAGAAAGCCUAAUCUAAUAACAAUUUGGAUUAUGUAAACUCAAUUGGUACAGUUGCAUCUAAAAAUGCGACACAUGUAUUAUCUAAUGUUUAUAUAUCUUUCUUGUUAUAGUAUUAAUUUUUAAUGGUAUUUGAUGUAGAAAUACAUUUUUUUAAUGUAUUAACAAAUUAUUUUUUCUACAUAUCAAUGUACAAAGAGUUGGGGAUUCAAUGAUUCUAGAAUCCCACUUUUAAAGCUCGCCUAGAGCCUUCAAAUUCACAAGGUCGGCCCUGGUGACGGUUUUUGUACCUCCUGUCAUUCUCAUGUUGGAGUGACUCCCAAAUGGUUUUGAUCAUAAGGAAUUUUCAAAACUUUCGUAGCAUACAAAAGGAAACUGGACUUUUUCACUUCUUCGAUUUCUUAAACCUCAUUCAGCUAUGAUCUAACCGAUGAUGUUAUUCAAAUCACAUCACACAUAUAGGCGCAUUACUACUGAGUACGAGGAUGGAUUUCUAAGAACUUCACUAACUUUGUAAGACUAAUGAAAGAAGAUUUCAUAGUUGAAUUCUAAUGGUACAAAACGGUUCUCUACGCCCAAAGAGAAUUCCAAAAACAUAUAAAUAGAGAACUGAGAAGCAGCAAAUACCAGUUUCACAUUGCAGUUUUAGUGUGAUGAGUUUUCCAGUAAACUAAACAGCCCAACAUCUAAGCAGUAACUAACUCAGAUGAACUUCUAGACUCUAACCAUAACUUGACUGCAACUUCUAUUGUAAAAAACCAGCUAGCCUUGUCUAAGGCCUCAUGGAAUAGAGCAUUCAAUUCCUUCAAAUGCGACUCAAAUGCACUCACCACACCUUUGUCUGGAACUUAUGUUUCCCAUGUCCAUUAUUAAUUCCAAACAACGGCGAAAGCUCCUCACCGGAUUCCAAUACCCAAGAUAGGUCAUUGAUCCAAACAAGUAAUGCAGUCAGAGCUGCCCCAAGAGAGAGGCCCUUAAGAUACAAAAAUCACUGGGUCUGAGACCUUGACUGUAAGCCUAUGUAUAUCUGAAGUGUGAUCCCCAAGUCUAGUAGCUCACAGGCUCUCUCCAAGAGAUUGAGGUUCACACAAAGAUCAAUCAGGCAAUUGUAGUAAGCCUUCUUUACAUCUGAACCAAUCGAGUUAAAAAGUUGUGAUGCUUCGUUCUUUAAGUUUUCACUACUUUCUUGCUUUUCCACCAAAAGUUACCACAUCCCCUAGUUUUUCAUCAGCAAUCUCAAUGCAAUUCACAAGCUUGCAAUGUUCGUCCUUUGGUGUUUGAGUCAUCACAUUCAGGAGCUUGCAAAGUUCUUGCAAAGUUCUUCCUUUGGUGUUUGGGUCAUCACAUUCAAGAGAUAACCACAGAAACGCUCAUCGGGUGUUAUUCCCAAUUCUAGGAGUUGAUUGAAUAUUUUGACAACGUCAUCAAUGCGUUUUGCCUUACCGUAGCAUUGGAUGAGUGAUGUCAAAAUAAAGAUAUUCGGCUCGAAACCAGCUUCCAACAUCUCAUUCAAUGUUGCUUCUGCCUCUAUGACUUUCCCGCUACAAGAAUAUAUGGUAAUCAUGAACGAAAAGGUCCAACUGUCAGGCUUCAAUGUUUCAGAACUCUUCAUUUCUUCAAAAAUCUCAACGGCUUCGUCGGUGUAACCAACAUCAGCACACAUAGGUAAAUGGGUGUUAUGGAGAAUUACAUUUAACUCCAGUCCCUUUUCCUAAAGAGCAUCAUCACAGUAACGAGCUCUACCAUAGGCCCUUAAAAGAGUUGCAUAGGUUACCCAAUUUGGUGAAAGCUCAUUGCUGAUCAUCUCUCGGUAAAUUUUCUUGGCCUGCCAAGGCCUCCUAGCUCUUCCCAUAGCAUCCAACAAAGUGUUAUAAAUAACCAAGUUUGGCUUAGCCCCUAUAGCUUUCAUUUCUUCAUAAACAUUCAAGCACCCAUCAAAAUACCCUGAUUGCCCGUGAAUUUUGAUCAAUGUAGAAAAUGUCACUGGAUCAAUGCGCCACUUCUCGGUCCUAGCUCGGUCAUACAAACAUGGUGUUGGAUUAGACAAGUGGGGUUUUAGCUUUUGCUUAUUUGUGUAUAAACAUAUCAAUCAAUUCUCGAACAAACAAAACGAGGAAUGAAAAGCAGGCCUAGGAGUAGUUCUAUUUUCUGGGAACACAUUAUUACACACGUAUCUAGGUUGCUGCUGCUGCUUUUUCUCUCUUGUCGACAUUUGCAGGCGAAGAGGGAUCAAGGAUUUGUUUACUUUAGAGUAAUGUUAGGAAACUAAAUUUGUAAAUAAAUUUGCAAAUUAAAUGAUAUGUCAUUAACACUUAAGUAAUAAUCAGAUCAUCAACCUUCAUGUCAUUUAGUUUACAAAAUUUUGUUUACAAAUUUAAUCUCCCUAGCUACUCUUUAGUUUAUGGUAGAAUCUAACAAUGUGGGGAUUGAAAAUAAUGAUAUAGUUGAGCAUUGUUAGACGAGGAAUGGUAGCUAAAUUUCAUUCUUUAGUUUACUCAUAUGAGCCCUGGGAGGCCAAGGGUUUGCUUAUGGGUUAGGAAUUUACGUGGAUUGAAACACACUACCUGAUCAAUUAGUGUAACUCAUAUAAAUUCUGGGAAACCAAGAGAUUGCUUCUGGGUGGGUUUUUGUUUUUGGUAAUGAAAGAAGAAAAAAAAUAGUUUAGAUUAGCACACGCUAUGGUAGGAGAGAAAAAAGGUUAACUUUUGGAAAUAAAGGUAAAUAUAGAAAAAUAAUAAUGAGUUUUUUAAAAGAUAUAAAAAUUUUGUUUGUGUUAAUAGAAUUCAUGUUACGCUUAAUAAAUGAGAAAGAUAAGUGUAAAAUGCAAAUGAGGAAGGUAGCUAGAUUCUUCUGUUCACACCUCCUCAAUUACACUCUUGACUAAUUGUUUAUUAGUAGUUGAUGAAAAUCAACUUGCGAAAUAGGAAAUAACUAAUAAUGCACGUGCAGUGUGCAGGACAAAGAAGGGAACGUGGAGUGGAAACUUAUAUUGCAUUGAAAAUUGUAGCAGGCACCAACUUCAUCUUCAUCUUCAUGAUGGGAUGUAUUUCUUUCUCUCUAUGGUCUAUAUUAAUGAUUUAAAGAACAGAAUAACAUGAUUGGGACUUGACAAUGUUCAUGUGACUUGACAACCACGAACUUUAUUAUUCACUUAACAGUAUACAUGGCCAUUGGAACUGAACCGUUAACACGACCUGUUAAUAUUAGUAUUUGGAUGAAUAUUUAACGGGUCGGAUCGUUAACAGGUUGCUAAUGUGAACCCGUUAACAACUCACAUUAGUAACCCGUUAAAUAACGGGUCACUUUGGAUCAACCCGUGAACACCCAUUAGUUAAGGAUGUUUUAGUAAUUUCAGUAAAGUCUUAACAACAAAAUAUAAACUCUAUGAAAAAAAAAAAUAAUAAUAAUAGUUGUUAACGGAUGAAACGGGUGACCUGUUAGCUUAACGGGUUGGGUUCGGAUGAUCCAUUAACUUAACGGGUCAGGUUUAACCCGACCCAAAUCCAAUAAACCCAACCCGUUUACAGGUAUACUCUUAGGUGUGGUUUGGGGUUGAGAUUAUUUAAAAAAGAAAGUUGAGAUAAAAAAAAAGCUAGAGUAAAAUUUGUGUUUGGUAACUCACAGCGCGUUUACUAAUCCGUAAUCAAAUUGAGGGGAAUUGAAUUGAUGGGGAAUUGGAUUGAGGAGGAAUGGAAAUGAGGUGGAAUCAGAAUCAGAUUCAUGUUGUAGUUGUUUACUAAAACUGUCUGGAAUCGGAGUAGAAAUGACAUUAAACUAUAUAAAGUGUUUACUGAUUCACAUGAAUCGGAAUGAAAACUAAUGCGAUUACUAAAAUGCCCCUAUUUUAACCAAUUUAUUUUAUAUGUUAAUUAUUUUAAAUAAAAUUUUUAUCGUUUUAUUUUUAUUUUGAUUACUAUACAGAAUUUACAAAUAUGUAUUCUUGCUGGUAGAGAAGCUCUAGACAUAUGUAGAAGAGUCUUUAAUCACAUAGAAUUGUCCAAAUUUGAUCAUUUUUUAUUUGCUUCAUCCUAAACCGUAUUAGAUCAAAUUUACUUCCUUUUCUCUCUCUCCCUGUUUCCCCCAUUUUUCUCUGCAGCUGCUUGACCAGAUCUCGUUGCGGCAUCGUUCCACAUCGCGUUCGUCGUUGCGGCACCGUUCCAAUCGCGUUUGUCGUUGUUCCAUAUUCUUCUCUGCAUACACAGAAGAGAGAGAGGAGAGAGAGAGAGAACACGACGGCUCUGCAUUUUCUGGCGUCACUGUAGCUACGUGGGCAUUCUUCCCCUUCCAGUAAGUUGCUUCAGGUUCACUGCUUUUUCUUCUUCAUCAUCGUCGUCGUCUUCUUCUUCUUCUUCUUUUGUUGGGUGCUGUGGACGCAGGGGGCUUGGUUUUCUGGAAACAGCACGAAGCUUUGAUCGUAUACAUGGGUAUUUUGGGUACAAAAUUUUGAUUCCUGAUGGAGUGUUCUACCCGGAACUCAAAUACUACCUCUAUAGAGGUAAUCCAAUUCCGGGCAAUUCUGGAGUUGAAUUCCUGAUAUUGGGUGGUCCCCACAUAAAUUUUGAUUCCCUAAUUGCGAGUAUACGUCAGAAUGCAUUGGGGAAUAUCCAAUUUCGUUUCUCUCGAUUCCAAUCCCGAUAGGUAAACACGCCCUCAGCUUAUUUUCAAAGUCACUGUCAUUUUAAGCUGAAAAGUGGAAAAAAGCUGAAGCAGCAAAAUGCAGCUUCUCAAAACCAGCUUUUUUUUUUUCAAGAGGCAGGUGAACAGUAGAAUUUAAUGAAACUUUCACAAUCUCAGAAAUACCCUCCUCAAUUUCUCCUUCUUGCUGCAUUGAGCUCUUCAUGAGUCUCUGUCUCUGUCUCUUCUUUCUCUUUCUAGAACCAGAAGCUCUAAGUCCUUAAGGUUCAUUUUGGUUUCGGAUCGGGUCCUGCAUUUGUAUAAAUCGGAGCUGUUUGAUCGGCGCUAGAACGGAUUCGGAUUUCAACAAUCGAAUUCGCUUUUUGUCUAAUUGGAUGGUCUGAUUGGGGUUGAAGAUGAAUCCGCUCUGCUGCAUUGCAUCGGUUUCGAUGGAUCGCGACCGGGGCACCCCGGUGGCGGUGAAAAUGAAGAAUUUUGAUCUGGGUUUUUUCACAAAAAAAAAAGAAGGUGAUUUGAGCUUUUCAAAGAGAGGAUUUGGAUGGAGUGCUUGCAGUUGUAUCAUUGAAGAAGAAGACCAGAGGAUAAUAUAAUGGAAUAAAAAAUGGCAAAAGUGGAUUAAAAUAUCGUAAGAAUAAUGAGUAGAUAAUGCUGGAAUGAAAUAUAAAAAAAUGGCAAUAGUGGAUUAAAAAUUGUAAAGAAAAUUAACCUAUAUUUGUUAAGAAAAUUAAAUUAAUAGCACAUAUAGUAUUAUAUUUGUUAAGAAAAUUAAAUUAAUAGCACAUAUAGUAUUAUACCUUUUUUGGUCAUUUUACACAGUCACAAUUGUUUUACAUAAAAGUUUACCAAACACUAUCAUACUGCUUUUUUUUUUCAAAAACACUUUUACACAAAAGUUUACCAAACAUUCUGCUGUUUUAUUUCACAGCCGCUUAUUCUUACAGCACAGCAGAAACAGUUUUUUUUCAAAGUAUAACAAUACCAAAUCAACCCUUAUAAUAAUAGGAAGUUUUAACGAAAACUACCUUUAUUUAUCAUUUUACAUUAAACCUAAGUAUUUUUUUUGGAUUUUUUGUCCGUUUUCCUAUAAUAUUAAUAUCAACCGACAAACACUGCUAAAAUAUUAUCCCUAGAUUGAAAAAGGUGUCACGGUCCAACAAGAUGAUCGAUGAUUUACAUGACUGGGCAAGCUGAGGGAUUUUCUUCACUGAAAUAGUCAGGGUGAGUAACACAAUACCCCAUGUUGUCACCGCCGUAACUGUUAUACACAGGCCUCCUAUAGUAACCAUCAUAUUGGAUGUACGGGGCUGGCCGCCCGCCAUAACCACUGUAGCAGGGCCGCUCGCCACAACCAUUGUAGCAUGGCCGCCCGCCACAACCACUGUAGCAUGGCCGCCGCCACAACCACUGUAGCACGGGCCAUCUGCAUGCCCCUGGUAACAAUCCAUACAACAUGUGCGGACAGGCAUUGGGUACCCUAGCACAGCAAGAUCUUUAGGCUUGCAAUCAUCUUUUUUUUUACCGCCAUAACCACUGCAGCACGGCCCACCUACAUGCCCCUGGCAACAAUCCAUACAACACACUGUGACAGGUGGUGGGCACUUUGGCACAACAGGAUCAUUAGGCUUGCAGUCAUCUUUUUUAUUGCCGCCAUAACCACUGCAGCACGGGCCACCUGCAUGCCCCUGGCAACAAUCCAUACAACAUGUUCGUACAGGCGGUGGGCACUCUGGCACAACAGGAUCUUUCUUACCGUCACAUUUAGGUUUGUUGUCACAUUUAGGUUUGUCAUCACAUUUAGGCUUACAGUCACAUUUAGGCUUGCCGCCACAUUCAUGCUUGUUGUCACCUUUAGUCUCGGGCUUGCUGUCACCUUUAGUCUCGGGCUUGUUGUCAUCUUUGGGCUUCUCGGGCUCCUUGAUCUUGAUGCUUUUGAUGGCACUCCCACCUUUGCAGCAAAUCUUGUCCCUUAUCUUUUCUGGAUUGCAGCAUACCACUUUGAUCACCACUUGGUUUUGCUUCUCGUUGUAUUUCUGGUCUCGUAUUUCUCCUGUUCACAAACACACAUUAAUUUACUAAGUUUACAUUUAAUCUAAAUUAAUCUUAUUUUCCCC
This 11195-nucleotide long non-coding RNA is filed under the name Malus domestica (apple). RNAcentral describes it as "long non-coding RNA (MDOM_LNC009787)". The record is from RNAcentral. Lineage: Eukaryota; Viridiplantae; Streptophyta; Magnoliopsida; Rosales; Rosaceae.